UAGAUCCUGAAGUGUGCGUUGAGGACUUUAUAAUUCAACCUACGUAACGACAUUGGGAGCCCGAGUUUCCGUCGUGGAUGUCAAGCCUCCUUAGAGUGGAAGGCAGAAGCAAGAACAGGGCACCCCCCUAUCAGUGAUAGGGUGUGAAUUAUUUAUCCUUGACGGCAUGUCGGGAUUUUU
RNAcentral lists this non-coding RNA (180 nucleotides) under Bacillota bacterium. Its description in RNAcentral is "6S RNA". It matches the Rfam family "6S / SsrS RNA". From Rfam's summary of the family: E. coli 6S RNA was the first non coding RNA to be sequenced, but its function was unknown until recently. Lineage: Bacteria; Bacillati; Bacillota. The record is from RNAcentral.